Molecule: ribosomal RNA, 279 nt
Filed under: uncultured bacterium
Lineage: Bacteria
Description: partial 16S ribosomal RNA
Rfam family: Bacterial small subunit ribosomal RNA
Source: RNAcentral
UGCCAGCAGCCGCGGUAAUACGGAGGGUGCGAGCGUUAAUCGGAAUUACUGGGCGUAAAGCGCGCGUAGGCGGCUUGAUUAGUCGGUUGUGAAAGCCCCGGGCUUAACCUGGGAAUUGCAUUCGAUACUGUCUAGCUAGAGUAUGGGAGAGGGAAGUGGAAUUUCCGGUGUAGCGGUGAAAUGCGUAGAUAUUGGAAAGAACACCAGCGGCGAAGGCGGCUACCUGGCUCGAUAUUGACGCUGAGGUGCGAAAGCGUGGGGAGCGAACAGGAUUAGAUA